This 244-nucleotide ribosomal RNA is filed under the name uncultured bacterium. RNAcentral's name for it is "partial 16S ribosomal RNA". It matches the Rfam family "Bacterial small subunit ribosomal RNA", at positions 111 to 354 of the family's 1533-position model. The record is from RNAcentral.
UAACGCGUGAGUAACCUGCCCAUAAGAGGGGGAGUAAUCCAUGGAAACGUGGACUAAUACCGCAUAUUGAAUAUUUACCGCAUGGCAGAUAUUUGAAAGAUUUAUCGCUUAUGGAUGGACUCGCGUCAGAUUAGCUAGUUGGUGAGGUAAAGGCUCACCAAGGCGACGAUCUGUAGCCGAACUGAGAGGUUGAUCGGCCGCAUUGGGACUGAGACACGGCCCAGACUCCUACGGGAGGCAGCAG